RNAcentral lists this long non-coding RNA (633 nucleotides) under Carica papaya (papaya). RNAcentral's name for it is "long non-coding RNA (CPAP_LNC006283)". Lineage: Eukaryota; Viridiplantae; Streptophyta; Magnoliopsida; Brassicales; Caricaceae. The record is from RNAcentral.
UUUCGUAGAUUUAAUGUAUUAGUGUGUCAGUAAAACUAUAAUACUUAAUUUUGAAUUACGUUGUAAUUAGAUUAUUACGAAAUUGGUUUAACGAAAAUAACAUUUCGUAACAAAUAAAUUUUUUUAAUUGUAGUAGUCACCGAGUUAAAAUACUCUUUCUCGUAAACUCUUGUACACUUAAUCUUCUUACCAGCUUUUACUGUUCUUCUUUGAACCCAGUAAUUGAUUCUAAAUUAACAAUGGCUUCUCUUCUGCUGAUUCUCCAUUUUUCUUCAUAUGGUUGGUCUGCAAUAUAAAAAUAUAUUGAUCAUUGUCUUUGAAAAUUCUAAGUGAAGUCACCUUUAAAGUCAAUAUGGAGAAAAGUCAAGAGAAAGAUUAAGUCAAAAGUAAUAUCACCAGCACCGAAACUUGUAAUUUUCCAGGAAACCGUGUAGACUGAGAAAAAGAAGUCCAUCAAGUUCAUUGCAGAUGCAUAAUUAGACUUUGUUAUAAGUAAAGAAAAUAAAAAAAGAUAUCUAAAAAUGGCUACUGUUUCUUCCUGUCUGUGUUUGAUCUUACCUUUUGUCCUCCUUCUGGUACCCACAAUUGCUCAAACUCACAGCAAUGUAACUUCAGGCUCAUUUCUUACUGCAA